RNAcentral lists this small RNA (782 nucleotides) under Pan troglodytes (chimpanzee). Its description in RNAcentral is "processed transcript". The record is from RNAcentral. Lineage: Eukaryota; Metazoa; Chordata; Mammalia; Primates; Hominidae.
AUCAAAACAGCUGGGCCCUGGUCAUUAGGCUAUUUUUUAUGAAGCUUGUUAUACAGUAUAUGUGAUACAAAGAAAAAGGUGUGCUGUCUCAGAGGUGUAACAAUUGGUUUACAUUGACCUUGAACUAGUGUUGUUAAGGCGCACGUCUGAUUUUAAAGCUCUAUCCUUUAACUUUCCACAUUCCAGCAGUAUUGAGGACUGUCUUGAGGUUAUGUGAGAAAACAAGGUUAUGUGAGAAUUAUAUUUCUCACAGAUAAAAACGUAUAAGACUUUGCAAUCUGAUCUGUUAUUUCUGACAAGACUACGAAAAGUUUAAUAAACUCAUAAUUUUUUUAAGCAUUAGAUUAUCUACCUUUGCACCCACUGACAUUCUUCUUUUCUCUACAUGAUAAAGCAUUUGGGUUUUGCACUAGUCAUUGCUAAUAUAUAAGAGUUUCACUUUGAUGUUUAUAAAGUCCUGAAGUUUUAGGGCUUUUUAGGAGGUCAUACGGUUGUCACCCACAUGUGUAGAAUUUACUGCCAAGAACCUCCCCAGGUGGAUGGGGAGAAAAGAAAAACCGGGAGCAGCUGAGAUUGGGGAUUUUGAUGAAGCCUUGGACAGAGAGCACUUAGCAAAAAAUAAAUACAUACCUCAGCAAGACGCACUAGAGGACAAAAUCGUGGAAUUUCACCAUAACCACAUUGGACAAACACCAGCAGAAUCAGAUUUCCAGCUCCUAGAGAUUGCCCGUCGGCUAGAGAUGUAUGGAAUCCGGUUGCACCCGGCCAAGGACAGGGAAGGC